This 642-nucleotide ribosomal RNA is filed under the name Russula aff. brevipes r-04109. Its description in RNAcentral is "LSU rRNA". It matches the Rfam family "Eukaryotic large subunit ribosomal RNA", at positions 41 to 649 of the family's 3401-position model. The record is from RNAcentral. Lineage: Eukaryota; Fungi; Basidiomycota; Agaricomycetes; Russulales; Russulaceae.
UAUCAAUAAGCGGAGGAAAAGAAACUAACAAGGAUUCCCCUAGUAACUGCGAGUGAAGCGGGAAAAGCUCAAAUUUAAAAUCUGGUGGUCUUUUGGCCAUCCGAGUUGUAAUUUAGAGAAGCGUCUUCCGCGCUGGACCGUACACAAGUCUCCUGGAACGGAGCGUCAUAGAGGGUGAGAAUCCCGUCUUUGGUACGGACCCCCAGGGCUUCUGUGAUGCGCUCUCGAAGAGUCGAGUUGUUUGGGAAUGCAGCUCAAAAUGGGUGGUGAACUCCAUCUAAAGCUAAAUAUUGGCGAGAGACCGAUAGCGAACAAGUACCGUGAGGGAAAGAUGAAAAGCACUUUGGAAAGAGAGUGAAACAGUACGUGAAAUUGUUGAAAGGGAAACGCUUAAAGUCAGUCGCGUCGACCGAGACUCAGCCUCGCUCUGGCUUGGUGUAUUUCUCGGCCCGACGGGUCAGCGUCAAUUUGGUCCCUCGGAUAAUGGCAAGGGAAAGGUGGCACCUUUGCGGGUGUGUUAUAGUCUUUUGUCGCAUGCGAGGGGUGAGAUUGAGGAACUCAGCACGCGCGCCCUUCUGGGUGUGUCGGGGCCUCGGCCCACGCCACGUGCUUAGGAUGCUGGCGUAAUGGCUUUAAACGACC